GCGAGGAGAGUGAGUCAGGCUAGCCAAGGAGACUGCCCGUGAGACCACCCCAAGGCUCAUCGAUCACAUCUCUGAUGAUGCCUGAUCGAUGAUCCUUCAGGGAGAGAUCUAGGUCGACACAGGCAAGUCAUCCUUGGCUACCAGAGCUAAACCCUCAUCG
Molecule: microRNA precursor, 160 nt
Filed under: Dichanthelium oligosanthes
Lineage: Eukaryota; Viridiplantae; Streptophyta; Magnoliopsida; Poales; Poaceae
Source: RNAcentral